GUCCACGCCGUAAACGUUGGGCACUAGGUGUGGGGAGGAAUCAACCCUUUCCGUGCCGUAGCUAACGCAUUAAGUGCCCCGCCUGGGGAGUACGGCCGCAAGGCUAAAACUCAAAGGAAUUGACGGGGGCCCGCACAAGCGGCGGAGCAUGUUGCUUAAUUCGAGGCAACGCGAAGAACCUUACCUGGGUUUGACAUGUACCGAAAAGCCAUAGAGAUAUGGUGUCCUUCGGGCGGUACGACAGGUGGUGCAUGGUUGUCGU
RNAcentral lists this ribosomal RNA (262 nucleotides) under uncultured bacterium. RNAcentral's name for it is "partial 16S ribosomal RNA". It matches the Rfam family "Bacterial small subunit ribosomal RNA", at positions 793 to 1055 of the family's 1533-position model. The record is from RNAcentral.